UCCUUAGUGGCUCAGAUGGUAAAGAAUCUGCCUGCAAUGCAGAAGACCUGGGUUCAAACCCUGGGUUGGGAA
Molecule: transfer RNA, 72 nt
Filed under: Ovis aries (sheep)
Lineage: Eukaryota; Metazoa; Chordata; Mammalia; Artiodactyla; Bovidae
Rfam family: tRNA
About the family: Transfer RNA (tRNA) molecules are approximately 80 nucleotides in length. Their secondary structure includes four short double-helical elements and three loops (D, anti-codon, and T loops).
Source: Rfam by way of RNAcentral